UAUGGGAAAAAUUUAUAAUUUUUUGAGAUGAUUUGAGAUCCCUUUUUGCUCGUAGAUGUGCAAGAAGGCUGAAGCGACGUAUCUAAAAAUUAAGAGUCCUUCUCAUAUAAGACUCCUAAUUUUUGAUAUGCUAAUUAAGGGACCUCAUGAAAGAGUGUAUCUAGACCCCUUCUACACUCCUUUUAUUGCUAUAAAUAGGUGGC
RNAcentral lists this long non-coding RNA (203 nucleotides) under Elaeis guineensis (African oil palm). Its description in RNAcentral is "long non-coding RNA (EGUI_LNC038760)". Lineage: Eukaryota; Viridiplantae; Streptophyta; Magnoliopsida; Arecales; Arecaceae. The record is from RNAcentral.